UCACCAAGACUUCGAUGGGUAGCCGGCCUGAGAGGGUGAACGGCCACACUGGAACUGAGACACGGUCCAGACUCCUACGGGAGGCAGCAGUGGGGAAUAUUGCACAAUGGAGGAAACUCUGAUGCAGCGACGCCGCGUGAACGAUGAAGGCUUUCGGGUCGUAAAGUUCUGUCCUAGGGGACGAUAAUGACGGUACCCUAGGAGGAAGCCCCGGCUAACUACGUGCCAGCAGCCGCGGUAAUACGUAGGGGGCGAGCGUUGUCCGGAUUUAUUGGGCGUAAAGGGUUCGCAGGCGGUCUCUUAAGUUAGAUGUGAAAGAUCACGGCUCAACCGUGGUAAGCAUUUAAAACUGGGAGACUUGAGUUAAGGAGAGGAAAGUGGAAUUCCUAGUGUAGCGGUGAAAUGCGUAGAUAUUAGGAGGAAUACCAGUGGCGAAGGCGACUUUCUGGACUUAUACUGACGCUGAGGAACGAAAGCGUGGGGAGCAAACAGGAUUAGAUACCCUGGUAGUCCACGCCGUAAACGAUGAGUGCUAGGUGUCGGGGGUCAAACCUCGGUGCCGCAGCUAACGCA
Molecule: ribosomal RNA, 573 nt
Filed under: uncultured bacterium
Lineage: Bacteria
Description: bacterial SSU rRNA
Rfam family: Bacterial small subunit ribosomal RNA
Source: RNAcentral